Molecule: ribosomal RNA, 460 nt
Filed under: uncultured bacterium
Lineage: Bacteria
Description: partial 16S ribosomal RNA
Rfam family: Bacterial small subunit ribosomal RNA
Source: RNAcentral
CCUACGGGAGACAGCAGUGAGGAAUAUUGGUCAAUGGACGAGAGUCUGAACCAGCCAAGUAGCGUGAAGGAUGACUGCCCUAUGGGUUGUAAACUUCUUUUAUAUGGGAAUAAAAUGUUCCACGUGUGGGAUUUUGUAUGUACCAUAUGAAUAAGGAUCGGCUAACUCCGUGCCAGCAGCCGCGGUAAUACGGAGGAUCCGAGCGUUAUCCGGAUUUAUUGGGUUUAAAGGGAGCGUAGGUGGAUUGUUAAGUCAGUUGUGAAAGUUUGCGGCUCAACCGUAAAAUUGCAGUUGAAACUGGCAGUCUUGGGUACAGUAGAGGUGGGCGGAAUUCGUGGUGUAGCGGUGAAAUGCUUAGAUAUCACGAAGAACUCCGAUUGCGAAGGCAGUUCACUGGACUGCAACUGACACUGAGGCUCGAAAGUGUGGGUAUCAAACAGGAUUAGAUACCCUAGUAGUC